CAGAGGCCCUGGUGGUCAGAGGCCAUUUGCAGCUCAAUGCAAAUAUCCUCAAGAGUAAACCUCCUUUCUCCCUAUUGGGUCAGCGUUUGCCUUCUCAGUUUAUUAGGGAAAUAAGGUCUCUAUUCUGAGCACCACAGAAAGCUACUUAGAGUGCUGCCAUCUACGGAUAUCUGGUCAAAAGCAAAACAAACAAACAAAAAACCUGAUUUCAAAUCUUUGCUCAGAUCUUGGCCUGGCCAUCAGACAUCACAGCCCCAUAGAACCCAGGACAAGCUGAGGGGAACUGUCACUGCCCUUUAAGUGUUCAUCGCCUAUCCAGACAGACAUACAAACUUUGUUGAGUUUAGAUAUUUAAAAGGGUUUUCUUCAGAUGGAUUUAUACUGCAUGGUCUCUAAGAAUUACUGCUUCUCUUUAGGAGAUACUGUGGAGUCACAUCUAAAGGCAGCGAAGAAAGCAAAUAUCACCUGAGUCAAAAUUACCCUUAAGAACCUCUCCAGAAGGUGCGCGGCUCUGGGCUCGGCAUGAGGAACACCCCGUACUGGUGCUGUGGUCCCAACAGAACUUGUGAGUUCUAGAGCAUUGUGGCCCAGCUCACAGACACACUGUGGUAAGACCACCUAGUGAUCAUCCACAGACAAAGCCACUGUUCUACAGAAGGUCUUCCAGGGAAAUAAAGUCUGCUAUUCGUCU
Long non-coding RNA from Canis lupus familiaris (dog), 691 nucleotides. RefSeq lists it as uncharacterized. Lineage: Eukaryota; Metazoa; Chordata; Mammalia; Carnivora; Canidae. The transcript is spliced from 2 exons. The record is from RefSeq and is a predicted model, not a curated record.